Molecule: non-coding RNA, 52 nt
Organism: Tetraodon nigroviridis (spotted green pufferfish)
Lineage: Eukaryota; Metazoa; Chordata; Actinopteri; Tetraodontiformes; Tetraodontidae
Source: Rfam
CUCUGCAUAGUGCACAAGUCUUUCGCCUUUUACUAAAGACUUCCGUGCAGGG